UUAAGCGACUAAGCGUACACGGUGGAUGCCCUGGCAGUCAGAGGCGAUGAAGGACGUGCUAAUCUGCGAUAAGCGUCGGUGAGGUGAUAUGAACCGUUAUAACCGGCGAUUUCCGAAUGGGGAAACCCAGUGUGUUUCGACACACUAUCAUUAACUGAAUCCAUAGGUUAAUGAGGCGAACCGGGGGAACUGAAACAUCUAAGUACCCCGAGGAAAAGAAAUCAACCGAGAUUCCCCCAGUAGCGGCGAGCGAACGGGGAGGAGCCCAGAGCCUGAAUCAGUGUGUGUGUUAGUGGAAGCGUCUGGAAAGGCGCGCGAUACAGGGUGACAGCCCCGUACACAAAAAUGCACAUACUGUGAGCUCGAUGAGUAGGGCGGGACACGUGGUAUCCUGUCUGAAUAUGGGGGGACCAUCCUCCAAGGCUAAAUACUCCUGACUGACCGAUAGUGAACCAGUACCGUGAGGGAAAGGCGAAAAGAACCCCGGCGAGGGGAGUGAAAAAGAACCUGAAACCGUGUACGUACAAGCAGUGGGAGCCUCUUAAUGGGGUGACUGCGUACCUUUUGUAUAAUGGGUCAGCGACUUAUAUUCUGUAGCAAGGUUAACCGAAUAGGGGAGCCGAAGGGAAACCGAGUCUUAACUGGGCGUUAAGUUGCAGGGUAUAGACCCGAAACCCGGUGAUCUAGCCAUGGGCAGGUUGAAGGUUGGGUAACACUAACUGGAGGACCGAACCGACUAAUGUUGAAAAAUUAGCGGAUGACUUGUGGCUGGGGGUGAAAGGCCAAUCAAACCGGGAGAUAGCUGGUUCUUCCCGAAAGCUAUUUAGGUAGCGCCUCGUGAAUUCAUCUCCGGGGGUAGAGCACUGUUUCGGCAAGGGGGUCAUCCCGACUUACCAACCCGAUGCAAACUGCGAAUACCGGAGAAUGUUAUCACGGGAGACACACGGCGGGUGCUAACGUCCGUCGUGAAGAGGGAAACAACCCAGACCGCCAGCUAAGGUCCCAAAGUCAUGGUUAAGUGGGAAACGAUGUGGGAAGGCCCAGACAGCCAGGAUGUUGGCUUAGAAGCAGCCAUCAUUUAAAGAAAGCGUAAUAGCUCACUGGUCGAGUCGGCCUGCGCGGAAGAUGUAACGGGGCUAAACCAUGCACCGAAGCUGCGGCAGCGACACUAUGUGUUGUUGGGUAGGGGAGCGUUCUGUAAGCCUGUGAAGGUGGCCUGUGAGGGUUGCUGGAGGUAUCAGAAGUGCGAAUGCUGACAUAAGUAACGAUAAAGCGGGUGAAAAGCCCGCUCGCCGGAAGACCAAGGGUUCCUGUCCAACGUUAAUCGGGGCAGGGUGAGUCGACCCCUAAGGCGAGGCCGAAAGGCGUAGUCGAUGGGAAACAGGUUAAUAUUCCUGUACUUGGUGUUACUGCGAAGGGGGGACGGAGAAGGCUAUGUUGGCCGGGCGACGGUUGUCCCGGUUUAAGCGUGUAGGCUGGUUUUCCAGGCAAAUCCGGAAAAUCAAGGCUGAGGCGUGAUGACGAGGCACUACGGUGCUGAAGCGACAAAUGCCCUGCUUCCAGGAAAAGCCUCUAAGCAUCAGGUAACAUCAAAUCGUACCCCAAACCGACACAGGUGGUCAGGUAGAGAAUACCAAGGCGCUUGAGAGAACUCGGGUGAAGGAACUAGGCAAAAUGGUGCCGUAACUUCGGGAGAAGGCACGCUGAUAUGUAGGUGAAGCGACUUGCUCGUGGAGCUGAAAUCAGUCGAAGAUACCAGCUGGCUGCAACUGUUUAUUAAAAACACAGCACUGUGCAAACACGAAAGUGGACGUAUACGGUGUGACGCCUGCCCGGUGCCGGAAGGUUAAUUGAUGGGGUUAGCGGUAACGCGAAGCUCUUGAUCGAAGCCCCGGUAAACGGCGGCCGUAACUAUAACGGUCCUAAGGUAGCGAAAUUCCUUGUCGGGUAAGUUCCGACCUGCACGAAUGGCGUAAUGAUGGCCAGGCUGUCUCCACCCGAGACUCAGUGAAAUUGAACUCGCUGUGAAGAUGCAGUGUACCCGCGGCAAGACGGAAAGACCCCGUGAACCUUUACUAUAGCUUGACACUGAACAUUGAGCCUUGAUGUGUAGGAUAGGUGGGAGGCUUUGAAGUGUGGACGCCAGUCUGCAUGGAGCCGGCCUUGAAAUACCACCCUUUAAUGUUUGAUGUUCUAACGUGGGCCCCUUACCGGGGUUGCGGACAGUGUCUGGUGGGUAGUUUGACUGGGGCGGUCUCCUCCUAAAGAGUAACGGAGGAGCACGAAGGUUGGCUAAUCCUGGUCGGACAUCAGGAGGUUAGUGCAAUGGCAUAAGCCAGCUUGACUGCGAGCGUGACGGCGCGAGCAGGUGCGAAAGCAGGUCAUAGUGAUCCGGUGGUUCUGAAUGGAAGGGCCAUCGCUCAACGGAUAAAAGGUACUCCGGGGAUAACAGGCUGAUACCGCCCAAGAGUUCAUAUCGACGGCGGUGUUUGGCACCUCGAUGUCGGCUCAUCACAUCCUGGGGCUGAAGUAGGUCCCAAGGGUAUGGCUGUUCGCCAUUUAAAGUGGUACGCGAGCUGGGUUUAGAACGUCGUGAGACAGUUCGGUCCCUAUCUGCCGUGGGCGCUGGAGAACUGAGGGGGGCUGCUCCUAGUACGAGAGGACCGGAGUGGACGCAUCACUGGUGUUCGGGUUGUCAUGCCAAUGGCACUGCCCGGUAGCUAAAUGCGGAAGAGAUAAGUGCUGAAAGCAUCUAAGCACGAAACUUGCCCCGAGAUGAGUUCUCCCUGACCCUUUAAGGGUCCUGAAGGAACGUUGAAGACGACGACGUUGAUAGGCCGGGUGUGUAAGCGCAGCGAUGCGUUGAGCUAACCGGUACUAAUGAACCGUGAGGCUUAACCUU
This 2902-nucleotide ribosomal RNA is filed under the name Escherichia coli DEC1C. RNAcentral describes it as "bacterial LSU rRNA". It matches the Rfam family "Bacterial large subunit ribosomal RNA". Lineage: Bacteria; Pseudomonadati; Pseudomonadota; Gammaproteobacteria; Enterobacterales; Enterobacteriaceae. The record is from RNAcentral.